Molecule: long non-coding RNA, 317 nt
Filed under: Actinidia chinensis (golden kiwifruit)
Lineage: Eukaryota; Viridiplantae; Streptophyta; Magnoliopsida; Ericales; Actinidiaceae
Description: long non-coding RNA (ACHI_LNC000371)
Source: RNAcentral
AAGAAAGUAAUUUGCUAAAUCCAAUUGAACGAAGAAAACAAAAAGAGAGACAAUCCCCAAUGUGGCGAAAAAGUUGUCCACCAAAUCCUCAUCGCUUACGAAGGUUGCUAGGGGGGUCUAUCAUUGAAGUUGGCAGAAUCGAACUUGAUUGGGUCUAUCAUUGAAGUUGCCACCUUAGUUUUGUGAUUUGAAUGAUGAAUUGGUUGAUACGACCUUUCAAUCAAAUGACAAUAAGGCUGUCUGAACCUUGAUUGUUUGCUGCAAGCUUCUCUUGUUGAGUUUCGAGAUAUCUGGUUCGAUUUGACUACAUUGACUGC